GGCUAUAUAGCCUAAAUCAAGGCAUUUGAAUUGCAAUCAGAUCAUGUGUAUAUUUCACUAUAGCC
Molecule: transfer RNA, 65 nt
Filed under: Perinereis vancaurica
Lineage: Eukaryota; Metazoa; Annelida; Polychaeta; Phyllodocida; Nereididae
Description: tRNA-Ala
Rfam family: tRNA
About the family: Transfer RNA (tRNA) molecules are approximately 80 nucleotides in length. Their secondary structure includes four short double-helical elements and three loops (D, anti-codon, and T loops).
Source: RNAcentral